GACGAACGCUGGCGGCGUGCUUAACACAUGCAAGUCGAACGGAAAGGCCCUGCUUUUGUGGGGUGCUCGAGUGGCGAACGGGUGAGUAACACGUGAGUAACCUGCCAUUGACUUUGGGAUAACUUCAGGCAACUGGGGCUCAUACCGGGUAGGAGCUCCCGCUGCUUGGUGGGGGUUGGAAAGUUUCGGCGGUUGGGGAUGGACGCGCGGCCUAUCAGCUUGUUGGUGGGGUAGUGGCUUACCAAGGCUUUGACGGGUAGCCUGCCUGCGAGGGUCACCGGACACAUUGGAAUUGAGAUACGGCCCAGACUCCUACGGGAGGCAGCAGUGGGGAAUAGUGCACUAUGGGCGGAAGGCUGAUGCAGCAACGCCGCGUGCGGGAUGACGGCCUUCGGGUAGUAAACCGCUUUCGCCUGUGACGAAGCGUUAGUGACGGUAAUGGGUAAAGAAGCACCGGCUAACUACGUG
This 468-nucleotide ribosomal RNA is filed under the name uncultured bacterium. RNAcentral describes it as "partial 16S ribosomal RNA". It matches the Rfam family "Bacterial small subunit ribosomal RNA", at positions 28 to 507 of the family's 1533-position model. The record is from RNAcentral.